CGAUAAAGGCAAACCCGGGGAAACCCGGGGGCGCAAAGCCCACGGACCCUCGCGACUUGAACUUGGUCGCAGGGUGGCCGGGCUGCCGAA
This 90-nucleotide non-coding RNA is filed under the name marine eukaryotic metagenome. RNAcentral describes it as "Cyclic di-GMP-I riboswitch". It matches the Rfam family "c-di-GMP-I riboswitch aptamer". Rfam says of the family: GEMM was predicted in a large-scale screen for bacterial structured RNA regulatory elements. The record is from RNAcentral.